This 494-nucleotide ribosomal RNA is filed under the name uncultured bacterium. Its description in RNAcentral is "partial 16S ribosomal RNA". It matches the Rfam family "Bacterial small subunit ribosomal RNA", at positions 28 to 507 of the family's 1533-position model. The record is from RNAcentral.
GACGAACGCUGGCGGCGUGCUUAACACAUGCAAGUCGAACGGAAAGGCCUGCUUUCCCUUGUGGAUUGCGGGUACUCGAGUGGCGAACGGGUGAGUAACACGUGAGUGAUCUGCCCCCAACUUGGGUAUAAGCCUGGGAAACUGGGUCUAAUUCCCGAUAGGACUGCAGGGUGGUGCCUGUGGUGGAAAACGAUUUUCUAGUGGUUGGGGAUGAGCUCGCGGCCUAUCAGCUUGUUGGUGGGGUAAUGGCCUACCAAGGCGGCGACGGGUAGCCGGCCUGGGAGUGUGGACGGCCACAUUGGGACUGGGAUACGGCCCAGACUCCUACGGGAGGCAGCAGUGGGGAAUAUUGCACAAUGGGCGGAAGCCUGAUGCAGCGACGCCGCGUGGAGGAUGACGGCCUUGGGGUUGUAAACUCCUUGCGACCGCGAGGAAGCCACCUGGUUGGAAGGGUGGUGACGGUAGUGGUAGAAGAAGCACCGGCUAACUACGUG